Molecule: ribosomal RNA, 512 nt
Filed under: uncultured bacterium
Lineage: Bacteria
Description: partial 16S ribosomal RNA
Rfam family: Bacterial small subunit ribosomal RNA
Source: RNAcentral
GACGAACGCUGGCGGCGUGCCUAAUACAUGCAAGUCGGGCGAACCAAUAGGAGCUUGCUCCUGUUGGUUAGCGGCGGACGGGUGAGUAACACGUGGGCAACCUGCCUGUAAGACUGGGAUAACACCGGGAAACCGGUGCUAAUACCGGAUAAUCUUUUUCCUCUCAUGAGGAAAAACUGAAAGUCGGUUUCGGCUGACACUUACAGAUGGGCCCGCGGCGCAUUAGCUAGUUGGUGAGGUAACGGCUCACCAAGGCGACGAUGCGUAGCCGACCUGAGAGGGUGAUCGGCCACACUGGGACUGAGGCACGGCCCAGACUCCUACGGGAGGCAGCAGUAGGGAAUCUUCCACAAUGGACGAAAGUCUGAUGGAGCAACGCCGCGUGAGCGAUGAAGGCCUUCGGGUCGUAAAGCUCUGUUGUUAGGGAAGAACAAGUACCGGAGUAACUGCCGGUGCCUUGACGGUACCUAACCAGAAAGCCACGGCUAACUACGUGCCAGCCGCCGCGGUAA